AGGGGCGAGCUGCUUUCAGCAUCAAGUUCUUUCUACAAAAGGACCUGAGCUGAAAUGAAACAGUUUGCCAGAGGCUUCUAGAGAUAAAGGUGGACUCCCGCAGAAAAUGUUCCAGAUCCUGGGAAGACAACAGCGCAAAUUAGAUAAGAGUGUAUCCUUGUUUAAUAGUUGGCAUUAGAUGCUGCAAAAUAUAACCUUGAGUUGGAACAGACACCCUUUCCAGAGCCUCCCUGAGCAAUCACUGUGCUGAGUACACCCCUCGCCCACCAGUAUUGCUCCGCACAGAGGCCUCCCCAACUCCAGGUCUCACCACAGAAGCUUGAGCAGUCCAGUUCCCUACCCACAGCUGACCUCCAACAGCAGGAAGAAGGAGCUUCAGCUUUGGACCUGGUCCCUGGCCCCACCUGACUCCAGGAGGCUGCCCAGAUCAGAACAGGGAGGAUGCUGGUUUCAGUCGGGAAGACCAAGCAAGAAAAAAAAGGCAGAAAAUCCCAGCAGAUAUGCAGUGGCAUGGAUCCAAGUGACAGAGAUGAGCACAGAAGUUACUGCUUUCCUUAUUCCUCUCCUGAUGCUGAGCACCCAUGACUCUUCACCCUCUCCCGAAGUCACUCCAGGGUCCACACACUCAUACAUAAUGGGCUACCUUCUCAAAAGAAGGGAACCCUGGGUUCAGAACACAAGACAUAAUACCUUUGCUGUUAUGAAAUCAUGAAAGAAUUCUUGGAUGUUCACAAACUAGAUUUGCCCAGCUCCCACAACAUCUUAUUUUCAUUAGCUUUGACUAAAGGGAAAAUUCCUCGUGACACUGUCAAGGGAAGCUUUAGAGCGACUGAAGUCAUAUGCUGAUUGUUAGAAGCUUCUUAAAAGCAUGAUUUUCGUUGCCAUCUAAAUGUAUAGAGGCUGAUAAACUGCAUAGGAACUGGGGAAAAAGGGGUGAGAAGAAGUAAUAAUAAAACGACGAGCUAUUGAAAAGGUGUGACCAUUAAAAAAUCCCCAACUGAUACAUUUGUCCAUAAAAUGAAGCCCCUUGAGACAUCACCAUGUUUCCUCUGUUCUUACUAAGCUAAGUGAGAGGUGAGUGGGCACUGAACCUUCUCCCUUCCUCACUGACACAGAGAUGGUGGGGGAAGCCAAGGGGAAGCACCUCUCUUCUGUCCACAUCUUGGAGUCUGGCUAACUCUUACCAAACAAGGGAGAAAAUAUGUCUUAGGUGGAACCAUAUAAAACUGCCAUCUUUGUAAAUGGUCUUUUUAAAUGGUUUUUUAAAAAACCAUCUUUUUAAAAAAUGGUCAAAUAUCAGCAAUUUCAUAUGGUUCAACUAUGCAAUAUCUCCAAAGCAGGACAUCCUAACCAUUUGGGUAAUGACAAGGUGUUCCUGACUCAUUGUUCUUUGGCAGAAAUGACUAACUCUGGAGAAAAAGACAAGAGAUGGGUAAUUCACUGUGAAAUCAAGUUGGCCCAUUCUUAAUGAUUAAAAUAAUGUCCUAAAAAGACAGAAAUGUUUAACUUCCAAGAUAUCUUUUAAACCAACCCAGAAAAUAGAGUUAUGCUUCUUACAGAAUUCAAUUUAACAAAUCUCUGCUCAGAGCCUAAUUUGCACAAAGCACAGACUGCUGAAUAUAGGAAUAUUUGCAGAGUUUCUUGAGAUUAAUCUGAUAGUGAGGGAGAAAUCCUUCAAUACAUGGAGAAUAGCUAAUGCCACAGGAAUUAUUUGUUAACAAAGAAAGGCAUCUGGGUCAUCAGCACCAUUUCUGAAAUUGUUAAAUCUUGACAGUAACGAUUACAGCUUUGUUAGGAGCAGAAAAUGUCAGGAGCAUAAAGAGUAGCCUGACUUCUCAUGUUAGUGCUACUGGACAUGAGGCCUUCUAAAGAAAGCAAUAAUGCAGUAAAAUAAGACUCUGGCUUUGUUAUUUCUAGCUGCAGCUCCCCAGGGAAACUGGGCAGUGGGGCCUAUGUUCUAGGGGGGAUCCCUGUAAAAUUUACAGCAUCUGUGGGCAGGAGCAGGGCUCCUGUUGAUUGACAUUCCUAGCAAGGCCCAUCUGUUUGUUCAGCUUUUUCCUGAGGGAGCCAGAAAGGGCUUGCUUCAGUUUCUUAUAAUGAGUUGAAAUUCCUAAUAAGAGAAAGCUUUGUGGUUGAGUCAAAAUAUUAAGAGAAGUAAUAUGCUGACAUUUUAAAAUUCACAACUUUCACCAAUUUAAAAGCACACGUUAUCACACUGUUUUCUUAACAUUUCUCUUCCUGGUGCAAAAGUGAGGCUAAUUGCACUCUUGCACAUACCCAAGUGGUUUCAGAGAGGAUCCAGGGUCUCCACUGGACCCUCAGUUAUCAAUGAAUCCACAAGCAUUACUGCUACUAAUAGAAGAUGAUAGAUAGUAAUAAUAAUAAGCUUGUAAUAAUAAGGCCAGCUAAAACUUUAUGCCAAGAAAGAAAAUUUAAGAUAUGAUUCUUGCCAUAUGGGUUGGAGAAAAAGAAUUCAUAAAUUAUUUUAAAAGUUACUAAAUAAAACACAGUUAGGAC
Molecule: long non-coding RNA, 2517 nt
Filed under: Homo sapiens (human)
Lineage: Eukaryota; Metazoa; Chordata; Mammalia; Primates; Hominidae
Description: HSALNT0091786
Source: RNAcentral